RNAcentral lists this ribosomal RNA (2902 nucleotides) under Klebsiella pneumoniae. RNAcentral describes it as "23S ribosomal RNA". It matches the Rfam family "Bacterial large subunit ribosomal RNA". Lineage: Bacteria; Pseudomonadati; Pseudomonadota; Gammaproteobacteria; Enterobacterales; Enterobacteriaceae. The record is from RNAcentral.
GGUUAAGCGACUAAGCGUACACGGUGGAUGCCCUGGCAGUCAGAGGCGAUGAAGGACGUGCUAAUCUGCGAAAAGCGUCGGUAAGGUGAUAUGAACCGUUAUAACCGGCGAUGUCCGAAUGGGGAAACCCAGUGCAAUUCGUUGCACUAUCGUUAACUGAAUACAUAGGUUAACGAGGCGAACCGGGGGAACUGAAACAUCUAAGUACCCCGAGGAAAAGAAAUCAACCGAGAUUCCCCCAGUAGCGGCGAGCGAACGGGGAGCAGCCCAGAGUCUGAAUCAGCUUGUGUGUUAGUGGAACGGUCUGGAAAGUCCGACGGUACAGGGUGAUAGUCCCGUACACCAAAAUGCACAGGUUGUGAACUCGAAGAGUAGGGCGGGACACGUGGUAUCCUGUCUGAAUAUGGGGGGACCAUCCUCCAAGGCUAAAUACUCCUGACUGACCGAUAGUGAACCAGUACCGUGAGGGAAAGGCGAAAAGAACCCCGGCGAGGGGAGUGAAAAAGAACCUGAAACCGUGUACGUACAAGCAGUGGGAGCACCUUCGGGUGUGACUGCGUACCUUUUGUAUAAUGGGUCAGCGACUUAUAUUCUGUAGCAAGGUUAACCGUAUAGGGGAGCCGCAGGGAAACCGAGUCUUAACUGGGCGUUAAGUUGCAGGGUAUAGACCCGAAACCCGGUGAUCUAGCCAUGGGCAGGUUGAAGGUUGGGUAACACUAACUGGAGGACCGAACCGACUAAUGUUGAAAAAUUAGCGGAUGACUUGUGGCUGGGGGUGAAAGGCCAAUCAAACCGGGAGAUAGCUGGUUCUCCCCGAAAGCUAUUUAGGUAGCGCCUCGUGAAUUCAUCUUCGGGGGUAGAGCACUGUUUCGGCUAGGGGGUCAUCCCGACUUACCAACCCGAUGCAAACUACGAAUACCGAAGAAUGUUAUCACGGGAGACACACGGCGGGUGCUAACGUCCGUCGUGAAGAGGGAAACAACCCAGACCGCCAGCUAAGGUCCCAAAGUCAUGGUUAAGUGGGAAACGAUGUGGGAAGGCACAGACAGCCAGGAUGUUGGCUUAGAAGCAGCCAUCAUUUAAAGAAAGCGUAAUAGCUCACUGGUCGAGUCGGCCUGCGCGGAAGAUGUAACGGGGCUAAACCAUGCACCGAAGCUGCGGCAGCGACACUAUGUGUUGUUGGGUAGGGGAGCGUUCUGUAAGCCUGCGAAGGUGACCUGUGAGGGUUGCUGGAGGUAUCAGAAGUGCGAAUGCUGACAUAAGUAACGAUAAAGCGGGUGAAAAGCCCGCUCGCCGGAAGACCAAGGGUUCCUGUCCAACGUUAAUCGGGGCAGGGUGAGUCGACCCCUAAGGCGAGGCCGAAAGGCGUAGUCGAUGGGAAACAGGUUAAUAUUCCUGUACUUGGUGUUACUGCGAAGGGGGGACGGAGAAGGCUAUGUUAGCCGGGCGACGGUUGUCCCGGUUUAAGCAUGUAGGCUGGUUAUCCAGGCAAAUCCGGAUAAUCAAGGCUGAGGUGUGAUGACGAGGCACUACGGUGCUGAAGUAACAAAUGCCCUGCUUCCAGGAAAAGCCUCUAAGCAUCAGGUAACAUUAAAUCGUACCCCAAACCGACACAGGUGGUCAGGUAGAGAAUACCAAGGCGCUUGAGAGAACUCGGGUGAAGGAACUAGGCAAAAUGGUGCCGUAACUUCGGGAGAAGGCACGCUGGUGUGUAGGUGAAGUCCCUGCGGAUGGAGCUGAGACCAGUCGAAGAUACCAGCUGGCUGCAACUGUUUAUUAAAAACACAGCACUGUGCAAACACGAAAGUGGACGUAUACGGUGUGACGCCUGCCCGGUGCCGGAAGGUUAAUUGAUGGGGUUAUCCGUAAGGAGAAGCUCUUGAUCGAAGCCCCGGUAAACGGCGGCCGUAACUAUAACGGUCCUAAGGUAGCGAAAUUCCUUGUCGGGUAAGUUCCGACCUGCACGAAUGGCGUAAUGAUGGCCAGGCUGUCUCCACCCGAGACUCAGUGAAAUUGAACUCGCUGUGAAGAUGCAGUGUACCCGCGGCAAGACGGAAAGACCCCGUGAACCUUUACUAUAGCUUGACACUGAACAUUGAGCCUUGAUGUGUAGGAUAGGUGGGAGGCUUUGAAGCGUGGACGCCAGUCUGCGUGGAGCCAACCUUGAAAUACCACCCUUUAAUGUUUGAUGUUCUAACGUUGGCCCCUUACCGGGGUUGCGGACAGUGUCUGGUGGGUAGUUUGACUGGGGCGGUCUCCUCCCAAAGCGUAACGGAGGAGCACGAAGGUUAGCUAAUCCUGGUCGGACAUCAGGAGGUUAGUGCAAUGGCAUAAGCUAGCUUGACUGCGAGCGUGACGGCGCGAGCAGGUGCGAAAGCAGGUCAUAGUGAUCCGGUGGUUCUGAAUGGAAGGGCCAUCGCUCAACGGAUAAAAGGUACUCCGGGGAUAACAGGCUGAUACCGCCCAAGAGUUCAUAUCGACGGCGGUGUUUGGCACCUCGAUGUCGGCUCAUCACAUCCUGGGGCUGAAGUAGGUCCCAAGGGUAUGGCUGUUCGCCAUUUAAAGUGGUACGCGAGCUGGGUUUAGAACGUCGUGAGACAGUUCGGUCCCUAUCUGCCGUGGGCGCUGGAGAAUUGAGGGGGGCUGCUCCUAGUACGAGAGGACCGGAGUGGACGCAUCACUGGUGUUCGGGUUGUCAUGCCAAUGGCACUGCCCGGUAGCUAAAUGCGGAAGAGAUAAGUGCUGAAAGCAUCUAAGCACGAAACUUGCCCCGAGAUGAGUUCUCCCUGAGACUUUAAGUCUCCUGAAGGAACGUUGAAGACGACGACGUUGAUAGGCCGGGUGUGUAAGCGCAGCGAUGCGUUGAGCUAACCGGUACUAAUGAACCGUGAGGCUUAACCUU